CAAAGUAUAACUAAAAUAGAAUAGUAUUUCAUUUACAUUGAAAUUGAUUAUCGUGCAAAUCGAUUUGCUUUGA
RNAcentral lists this transfer RNA (73 nucleotides) under Longpotamon xiushuiense. RNAcentral describes it as "tRNA-Val". The record is from RNAcentral. Lineage: Eukaryota; Metazoa; Arthropoda; Malacostraca; Decapoda; Potamidae.